This 711-nucleotide small RNA is filed under the name Pongo abelii (Sumatran orangutan). Its description in RNAcentral is "processed transcript". The record is from RNAcentral. Lineage: Eukaryota; Metazoa; Chordata; Mammalia; Primates; Hominidae.
AUUCAACAAUAGGGGAAAAGACAGAGACAAUGGGAAAUUGUGCUUCCGAUGGGGUGGGGACUGAGAAGGAAAGGACAGACAGACAGACAGACAGGAGGUUGUACAGAAGAGGUCCGGUUUCCUGAAGCAGCUGGAAGUCCUGGAUGGUUCCCACCUGAAAGUCCGUUUGCAAAGGCAAUGCGCACUCAGGCACCAGAGGGCAGAGGACAGAAGCUUUUCCUCAAAGGUGCAAAAGGAGCAACUGUGUUGAACAGGGGCUCAAGUUCCAGGGUUUUAAGGUGCUUGGAACUCCCAGGAGCCUGGCAAAACCUUCAUCCAGAACCUCUUCCUCAAGCAAGACAAAAAGCUGCUAAGCACUGCUCCCUCCGUCUCUGUGAAGAGACCAGCUUCUAACAGACAGUGCUGGGCUGACCCCCCAUCAUGCCAGGCUGGCUCACCCUCUCCACACUCUGCCGCUUCCUUCUUUGGGCCUUCACCAUCUUCCACAAAGCCCAAGGAGACCCAGGUAAGACCCCAGCCCAGGCCAGAAUCUGGGGAAAUCUUGGGGAGUCUGCAAGGGUGGGGAAAGGGGAAAGGGCAGUUGUUGCAGGAGUGAAAGUCAUUGCUGAGAAGGCAAUGGAGGAGAGGGUUGGGGGGCUCUGGAGAAAGCAUUUGGGGAGCAGGGUCUGUUGGGCACUUGGGGCAGUGAGGAUCGGGGGUUCCUGCCACUGU